UGACUGCCGCGAAUAUAAUUGAUGGAAGAUUAAGUCCACAGGAACAAGCAACUAUACAAGCAAUUGUUGAUGCUAGGUAAAAUUCAGUUCAUCAUUCCUUAGAACUUUGGUCUUGUGGUAUUACUGAAGCCUAUUUGGUUAUCAGCUACUAUCCUCUUUCAAUAGUAAUGGUUGGAGUGGGUGAUGGACCAUGGGAUGCGAUGCAGCAUUUUGAUGACUGUAUUCCUUAGAAAUUUUUAUCAUUGGUUCCUGAUAGACAGUUUGCCAAAAACAUGGUUCUUUCCUUCAUAAACUAAAUUUACAGGUUCAAGAGACAUUUCUAGCCCAAUUUUGCAAUAUUUUUGUUGAUUUGAUAUGGUAGAUUCACUAUUCUUUUCAGCAGGGAGUGUAAUAGGCGGCUUUAGCUCAACAUGAACUGGAGCAGGUAGGCUUGAUGGAAACAUCCCUUUGAAAUUUGAUAUUUCGGAAGCAGUAUGGAAAUUUGUUAAUGGCUCGAAAGUAGCAUCAAGCCGAGAUAUCGGCAUAGGAGGUCUGAUGGAAGUAAAUGGCUGGUUGCUUUUAGUGGAAUCAAAACCAUGCAUCGAAGGUUGAAUUUUGGUGGAAAAUUGCCUACUUGCAAGAGGAACAUCAGUAAAGUUGGGAAGAUAGACAUGUGCUGAAUUGUACGUUCCUGGUCUAGGAUAAUACACUUUCUGAAGUGGAAAAAAUGUUUGAAUAGAGUGAGGUAGCUGGUUUAUAUUGUUUAAAGGCAUCUGCCCAGAAGCAGGAACAUUUAUAAAGGAAUGCCCAUGUCUAUCUAGCAUCAGUUCUUCGUGUGUCUCUGGAUGUGUUAUCUUGAUAGUUCUCUUAUGUUCAUCACCGCUUCUAGGAUACUGCUGAGAUAAUUCUUGCACAUUUCUCAUGUU
Molecule: long non-coding RNA, 905 nt
Filed under: Zea mays
Lineage: Eukaryota; Viridiplantae; Streptophyta; Magnoliopsida; Poales; Poaceae
Description: long non-coding RNA (ZMAY_LNC003113)
Source: RNAcentral